CUGUGGGCCGCGUCGGGGGCGCGGCUUCCGGCGGGCGCGCGCCUCCCUCAGGCGCUUCUGGCGCCUCUAGCAGGGCGCCAGGGCGUCCACCUCCCGCUUCGCUCCCGAUGUGAGGACGAACGAGCGCCGGCGCUGGGCGCGCGCUGUCGGAGACGCGUGCUCGGGGGUGCGGGCUGUCGGGGGCGCGCGCCGUCGGGCCCCACCGGGGCUGUUUCGCCACAGAAGAAGUAGAGGAGUCUGGGAAAACACGCUCACCUGGGGGACGGAGCUAAUUUGCAUGUUCUGGGAACUCUGGAAAGCCAGGAGUGACGUGCCCUCCAGGGAGCCAGGGGCUUGCCAUGCCCACUGGCCCUCCACCAGACCUGCACCUCGGGAACACCUGGGAGCUUGAAAAACUCAGAAGCCUGGACCACCCAAGUGUCCAUCAGCGAUGAAUGGGACCCUGAGGUCAGGGAGCCUUGGUACCGUGCCCACAACAUACAGUGGCCCAGUCAGGACUCAAACCCAGGACCGUCCAGCCGGGCAGCCGCUCUCCUCAGAUCUUUGGGUUUGAAAGGAAGAGGGAGAUCUGAGACUCAGACACAGAGCAAGAAGGCCACGUGAGCAGACAGAGCCUGGAGGGAUGCGGCCACAAGCUAAGAGCCACCAGAAGCUGGAAAAGACAGGAAGGGUCCUGCCCGAGCGCCUCCAGAGGGAGCGUGGCCCUGCUGACACGCUGAUUUCAGACCUCUACCCUCUAAACCGAGCACGAGUGACAAAGCAGUGGCUUCAAUAAUCACCAGGUGUCGUCGUACGUCAUCCCGCGUGGUUGCUGUGCGGCAGGAACCUGGCCCCGGGCACGGCGGGAACGGCUUGGUUCUGAUUCAUGACUGAGGUCUCAGCCAGGAGACCCCGAGGCUGGGCUGGGCCAUCUGAAGGGACACAGGCCGAUGCUGGCUGUUGGCUGCGGCUUAGCUGGGGCUGCGGAAGGAACACCCGCGUGUGGCCUCCCCACGUGGUUAGGGUUCCUUACAACGUGGUGGCCGGAUUCUACUGGGAGCAUCCGGAGAGAAGGGGAGACAAAGAGGAGAGAGGGAGCGAGGGAAGGGGAUGCAUGUCUUACGACACCUCGGAAGCCGUGAGCAUCAUUCCCGCUGCGGUCUGUUGGUCCAAGAAGUUACAAAGGUCCGCCCGUGUUCAAGAUGCCAGCAUGGACCCCACCUAUCUCUCUGUGGAGGAACAUCAAUGUCACGUCCAAAGAAAGGAUGCGAGAUGGGAUAUAUUUUGCUGCAGCUAUUCUGAGUCGAAAGCCAGAAAACACAUGCCAUUCAACUGUCAGUGGACACGGAGAUGGUCACCUUCAUCCAGGUGACACCGCACCACCUGCUCUGCUUUUCCCUGCAGUGGUCGGUCACACCGGGGUCAGGACCAAGGGUGCAUGCCCUGCACAAGGGCCCGAUGAAAGGCUACUUCUGAGUCCAUAAGGUAACAGAAGAACGUCCUAGGUUACAGUUAAUAAAGGUCAUUGUUACUGGAUGUGAACAAAGCCGGCCUUCAUUUCUUUAUUUGGUGGCCCAUUUGGUGAAGCACUUAAGAAACGCCCAGGCCAACAUACACAUAUAAUGGUUUUAAUUACAUCCUGUGAAUUUAUUCUUCCAGAGAGGAAUAUUUCUCAGGGAAAUGUCCAUAAAAGCAACUUUCACAGCAGUGUGAUUGUGUGUGUUUCCUACAGGAAGCCUGUUUAGUUUAAGUCCCACUCUGAGUACAACUUUUUACAAAGACAGGGGCCCGAGAAGGCUGCCAACAGCCCCAGAGAUGGUGAUGUCAUGGCCUGGGACACCAGGGAUACUGGGCGUGAGGCCUGCCCCCCCAUGAAAAGAAGGCAGAGUGGGUGAGGGCAGAGUGGUUCCCACUGACUCACUCUCUGGGCAACCUUUAGUGAGUUUGCAGGGUUAUUUCCACACUCAAAAUAAGCUUGACAGGAUGGGCAAAUAUAGAUACAACAUCGUAUGCAACAAUUUGAAAGUACAGAUUCUUUUCAAAAUAACGUGAGAAGAACAAGUGUAGGCAAGUAUGGUGGUUCCUCAACACAUUAAACAGAGAAAUACCAUAUGAUCCAGCAAUUCCAAUUCUGGGUAUGUAUCCAAAAAAAAUGGAAAGCAAGCAUGCAGAUAGAUAUUUGCACACCCACACUCAUAGCGGCAUUAUUCACGAUAGCCAAAAGGUGAAGGCAGCCCAGGUAUCCACUGACAAGUGAGUGGGUGAACAAAGUGGGGUCCAUCCACAGCACGGAAUGGUAUCAGCCUUGAAAAGAAACGAAAUUCUGACACAGGCUACGACACGGAUGAACCUUGAAGACACCGUGCUGAGUGAAAGGAGCCAGUCACAAAACGACAAAUAGUGCCUGACUCCACUUAUAUGAGGUCCCUGGAAGAUUCAGAUUCAUCGACACAGAAAGUAAAAUGAGUGUCGCCAGCGCUGGAGGAGGAGGGAUGGGGAGUUAGUGUUUAAUGGGGACAGAGUUCCGUUCGGGAAGAUGCAAGAGUUCUGGCGAUGGAUGGUGGUGACGGUUGCACAACUAUGUGAAUGUGCUUAACGUCACUGAA
This is a long non-coding RNA of Globicephala melas (long-finned pilot whale), 2585 nucleotides long. RefSeq lists it as uncharacterized. The record is from RefSeq and is a predicted model, not a curated record. NCBI's taxonomy places the organism in Eukaryota, Metazoa, Chordata, Mammalia, Artiodactyla, Delphinidae.